Molecule: ribosomal RNA, 465 nt
Filed under: Vreelandella stevensii
Lineage: Bacteria; Pseudomonadati; Pseudomonadota; Gammaproteobacteria; Oceanospirillales; Halomonadaceae
Description: partial 16S ribosomal RNA
Rfam family: Bacterial small subunit ribosomal RNA
Source: RNAcentral
CCUACGGGGGGCUGCAGUGGGGAAUAUUGGACAAUGGGGGCAACCCUGAUCCAGCCAUGCCGCGUGUGUGAAGAAGGCCCUCGGGUUGUAAAGCACUUUCAGUGAGGAAGAACGCCUGGUGGUUAAUACCCAUCAGGAAAGACAUCACUCACAGAAGAAGCACCGGCUAACUCCGUGCCAGCAGCCGCGGUAAUACGGAGGGUGCGAGCGUUAAUCGGAAUUACUGGGCGUAAAGCGCGCGUAGGUGGCUUGAUAAGCCGGUUGUGAAAGCCCCGGGCUCAACCUGGGAACGGCAUCCGGCACUGGCAAGCUAGAGUGCAGGAGAGGACGGUAGAAUUCCCGGUGUAGCGGUGAAAUGCGUAGAGAUCGGGAGGAAUACCAGUGGCGAAGGCGGCCUUCUGGACUGACACUGACACUGAGGUGCGAAAGCGUGGGUAGCAAACAGGAUUAGAUACCCUAGUAGUC